This 170-nucleotide unclassified non-coding RNA is filed under the name uncultured Ascomycota. RNAcentral's name for it is "sequence contains ITS1". The record is from RNAcentral. Lineage: Eukaryota; Fungi; Ascomycota.
CAGGGUCUGACGACUGCCCAAAACACACCGUGAACCAUCCUCUCUACCUUGCUCCGGCGGGCCGCUCGCUGGGGGAGCCCAGGCCGCUGCGUUGCGGUGGCCUGCCGGAGCAAACCAACCCAAAACCUACUUCGUAACGUAUCUCUGAGAACUUUCUGAAAAGAAAAUCA